AAGAACGCCCCGUUUUUUGAAAUGGGUAAUUCCCAAACCGUGUCUAUAUACCUUUGUUGCUUUGGCAGGUCGCCUUCUAGGAGGCGUCGGCUUCGGCCGACUGCGCCUGCCAGAGGACCCAAACUCGUUUGUUUAGUGAUGUCUGAGUACUAUAUAAUAGUUA
RNAcentral lists this unclassified non-coding RNA (163 nucleotides) under uncultured Meliniomyces. Its description in RNAcentral is "sequence contains ITS1". Lineage: Eukaryota; Fungi; Ascomycota; Leotiomycetes; Helotiales; Helotiaceae. The record is from RNAcentral.